Molecule: unclassified non-coding RNA, 754 nt
Filed under: Bombus terrestris (buff-tailed bumblebee)
Lineage: Eukaryota; Metazoa; Arthropoda; Insecta; Hymenoptera; Apidae
Description: misc RNA ENSBTSG00005033427.1
Source: RNAcentral
AUUUAUAUUACGAAGAGUGAUGUUUAUUUUUUCAACAAUAAUAACUUGAUUUUCAUAAGAAAGACAAUAAAAUAUUUCACACAUCAAAAACAUUAUUUUCUCAUUGUUGACGUAUUAGAUAACCUUCCAUGUUCAAACCACUAAGUUACCCAUUGUAAAUGAGCCCUAUAAUAUAUUUUUGCAUGUUACAUUUUAUAUUAGAUAUCAAUGGUUCUGUACAGCUCAUGCCAGACUCUCCAAUUUUAUAUAUUUUUAUACUAUUGAUAAAGAUAAAUAAUAUGUGCUAGAACUAGAAGAAUAUGGAUACAAUUUUUCUUAGUUGUGUUCAUGGGUACAAUAAACUGAAUUUUAUUGUUGUCUUCAAGGGGCUAAGUUCCAAAAAACAUCGAGAAACAUGUAUUACAUUAAAUCUUGUGACAUUUUUGAUAUGUUUCAUAUUUUUAAAUAUCAUAAAAGUCCUUUGUGAACAUGUAAUGACAGUAACAGUAAUAACAGUUAUAGAAGUAACACUAAUGAUGAUACUAUGAGCAAUAAUAAUAACAAUUAAUAAUGCAGCAAUAGUGGAGGUAAUUAUAAUAGCAUUAAUAAUCAUAAUUAUAGCUAUAAUAGUAUAGUAAGAAUUGUAGAGUUUAAUAAUGAGUCAAAGAUCAACAGUAAUCAGUGAAACAGCAUUAGUAAUGAUGACUGCAGUAUAAUUGCAACUAUAAUUUAUUUCACAAACAUUUAGACACAAUCAUCAGAAAAAAACAAAUUA